CCGACGAAGGAAAAUUUCGUCGGCUAAAGUGUACUUUAGCCGACGAAAAUUGUUUCGUCGGCCUGUUUUUUUUUUUUCGUCGGCUAAAGUCUUUCUUCUGGUAGUGGAGGAGGGUAUAAUGGUCAUGUAAAAAAUGUGAAAAUAGACCUUUUAAUCAUUUAAGAUGUUAUAAGGUGACUAUUUUAUCAUGUAACAUGUUUUAAUGUUGACUUUUUUAUUAUCUGGAACAUUUAAAGACUUUUUUAUCAUUUGUACCUUUAAAUGGUAGUUGAGUGUUAUAUACCCUAUAUAAUAUCUCUCCUUAAUUAAAAGCAGUUAGAUGCAUUGCCUCGGACGAAUCAGUUUCUACAAUAAUAUUCCCUAAUCUUCUCUCCAAAGUAAGCUCUAGACCCAACAUAUAUUGUAUACUGUAUAGACAUUAAACAAAUUAAAAAACUGUAUAUCUUUUUUUAAAAAUAUAAUAAUAAUAAACAAACUGUAUAUUGAGGGGAAAUGUUUUAAUUCAGAAUAAAAUCUAAUAGUAAUAAAUAAAAUGUUAUUAUGGUAAACCAAAAUAAAAAAGUAUAUUAAAAAUAAAAAUAACUAAAAAAACGGGUGAUAUAGGAACAUCCAUAUUAUUCUUACUCCGUUCACUAAUAAGACGU
RNAcentral lists this long non-coding RNA (644 nucleotides) under Fragaria vesca (wild strawberry). RNAcentral describes it as "long non-coding RNA (FVES_LNC005167)". The record is from RNAcentral. Lineage: Eukaryota; Viridiplantae; Streptophyta; Magnoliopsida; Rosales; Rosaceae.